UACGUAGGGUGCAAGCAUUAUCCGGAGUGACUGGGCGUAAAGAGUUGCGUAGGUGGUUAGUAAAGUGAAUAGUGAAACCUGGUGGCUCAACCAUACAGACUAUUAUUCAAACUCACUAACUCGAGAGUGGUAGAGGUAACUGGAAUUUCUUGUGUAGGAGUGAAAUCCGUAGAUAUAAGAAGGAACACCAAUGGCGUAGGCAGGUUACUGGACCAUUUCUGACACUAAGGCACGAAAGCGUGGGGAGCGAACCGG
This 255-nucleotide ribosomal RNA is filed under the name uncultured bacterium. RNAcentral's name for it is "partial 16S ribosomal RNA". It matches the Rfam family "Bacterial small subunit ribosomal RNA", at positions 524 to 776 of the family's 1533-position model. The record is from RNAcentral.